UUACAGCCAUAUCAGGUUGAAACACCGGUCCCCGUAUCAUCACUAAAGUUAAGCAUCAUCGGUCCUGGUUAGUAUCUAGAUGGGUAACUGUUUGGGAAUACCAGGUCCUGUAAG
This is a non-coding RNA of Acanthosepion pharaonis, 114 nucleotides long. The record is from the annotation of a GenBank genome assembly. NCBI's taxonomy places the organism in Eukaryota, Metazoa, Mollusca, Cephalopoda, Sepiida, Sepiidae.